Molecule: ribosomal RNA, 377 nt
Filed under: uncultured bacterium
Lineage: Bacteria
Description: partial 16S ribosomal RNA
Rfam family: Bacterial small subunit ribosomal RNA
Source: RNAcentral
AGACGUAGGGGGCGAGCGUUGUCCGGAAUUACUGGGCGUAAAGGGCGUGUAGGCGGCCUUUCAAGUCGGCUGUGAAAUACCCCGGCUCAACCGGGGGGGUGCAGUCGAAACUGGGGGGCUUGAGUGCAGGAGAGGAGGGUGGAAUUCCCGGUGGAGCGGUGAUAUGCGUAGAUAUCGGGAGGAACACCGGUGGCGAAGGCGACCUUCUGGCCUGUUACUGACGCUGAGGCGCGAAAGCCGGGGGAGCAAACAGGAUUAGAUACCCUGGUAGUCCCGGCCGUAAACGCUGGGUACUAGGUGUAGGGGGCUUUGAUGCCUUCUGUGCCGUAGUUAACGCAUUAAGUACCCCGCCUGGGGAGUACGGCCGCAAGGCUGAA